This 100-nucleotide small nucleolar RNA is filed under the name Botryobasidium botryosum FD-172 SS1. Its description in RNAcentral is "Small nucleolar RNA snR60/Z15/Z230/Z193/J17". It matches the Rfam family "Small nucleolar RNA snR60/Z15/Z230/Z193/J17". Rfam says of the family: The members of this family belong to the C/D class of snoRNAs which contain the C (UGAUGA) and D (CUGA) box motifs. Most of the members of the box C/D family function in directing site-specific 2'-O-methylation of substrate RNAs. The family includes the yeast snoRNA snR60 (also known as Z15) and the corresponding human guide snoRNA U80 (SNORD80). The record is from Rfam by way of RNAcentral. Lineage: Eukaryota; Fungi; Basidiomycota; Agaricomycetes; Cantharellales; Botryobasidiaceae.
UCGCGCGCAUGAUGAUAUAUACUUAAAAGCAUAGUUCACUCCGAAAUUAUCGUGUGGAACAACUUUUAGCAACGUCUUUCGCUCCUAUCUGAUCCCAUCC